UGGAAACACAACAUCAGCAAGCCCGAGGUACUCUGUGCUUGGUAACAUUUCAGCCUCAGAGUCAUUGGUGCGCAGCAGUUUACCAUCCGUGACGAAUCCUCUGAUCGGCUUCAUGACAUUCUCUGACACACCUGUUACUGGCAUUUUCAUUGGUAUUUUUGGCUUUGGGACAGAAGCAGCACUGGGACUUUUUGGCAAAUCAACGGUUCAGACUAUGGUCAAUGGUGCCAUGAUGGAUACAUUGGUCGGUAUUGGCUCCUCUUAUUCAUACUUUGACAUCAGCGGAUGCAGACAGU
This is a long non-coding RNA of Larimichthys crocea (large yellow croaker), 296 nucleotides long. RefSeq lists it as uncharacterized. The record is from RefSeq and is a predicted model, not a curated record. NCBI's taxonomy places the organism in Eukaryota, Metazoa, Chordata, Actinopteri, Sciaenidae. The transcript is spliced from 3 exons.